CUACAAUGACGGCAGUAUUUUUCGUCAACAGCAGUUCGCCUGGUAAGUGUUGAUACUUUGGGUCUGAGUGA
This is a small nucleolar RNA of Hippopotamus amphibius kiboko, 71 nucleotides long. RefSeq annotates it as small nucleolar RNA SNORD56. Lineage: Eukaryota; Metazoa; Chordata; Mammalia; Artiodactyla; Hippopotamidae. The record is from RefSeq and is a predicted model, not a curated record. The transcript has a single exon.